UGGGGAGUCCACAGCUAUGAAUGUA
Molecule: non-coding RNA, 25 nt
Filed under: Rattus norvegicus (Norway rat)
Lineage: Eukaryota; Metazoa; Chordata; Mammalia; Rodentia; Muridae
Source: RNAcentral